AGGAGCAGCUGAGAGCAAGGGAGGACGCUUGACAAUGACUCGGGUAAUGAAGGGCCCACGCGGAUGCGCUUCUGUUAGAUGUGAGUGAUGCUGGCCUAGUACUGUCGUGUCCUAAGAAGCCUCCACGAGGACUUCGUCCCUCGUCAGCAGAACAGGUGUGGCGAGCACUUCAGACUCCCCUUCACAGUCAUUUUUCCUUUCCUAGGUAGAACCGAUAUGGAACCUGCUGUGGUCCCGGUUCAUUCCUAUCAUCAUUUCCUUAGACUUCACUUUCACUCUUAAAGAUUGCUCAAUAAUAUACCUCAUGAAUGUACCAUACCCACGCAAUCCUCUAUAAUGCUUCCGAAUGGAUAUUCUGUGUGA
This is a long non-coding RNA of Physcomitrium patens, 363 nucleotides long. RefSeq lists it as uncharacterized. The record is from RefSeq and is a predicted model, not a curated record. Lineage: Eukaryota; Viridiplantae; Streptophyta; Bryopsida; Funariales; Funariaceae.